ACGUACCUAUCAGUGGGGAAUAACUGCCCGAAAGGAUGGCUAAUUCCGCAUGCGCCUGAUCUUUCGGUAGGUCAGGGAAAGCCUUAUCAAAGAGGCGCUGAUGGAGCGGCCCGCGUUCGAUUAGCUGGUUGGUGGGGUAACGGCCUACCAAGGCGACGAUCGAUAGCUGGUCUCAGAGGAUGAUCAGCCAGACUGGGACUGAGAGACGGCCCAG
Molecule: ribosomal RNA, 214 nt
Filed under: uncultured bacterium
Lineage: Bacteria
Description: partial 16S ribosomal RNA
Rfam family: Bacterial small subunit ribosomal RNA
Source: RNAcentral